CCUACGGGUGGCAGCAGUAGGGAAUAUUGGACAAUGGAGGCAACUCUGAUCCAGCCAUCCCGCGUGAAGGAUUAAGGUCCUAUGGAUUGUAAACUUCUUUUCUCUGGGAAUAAAAAGUGGGAUUCACUCCUGCCUUGAAGGUACCAGAGGAAUAAGCACCGGCUAACUCCGUGCCAGCAGCCGCGGUAAUACGGAGGGUGCAAGCGUUAUCCGGAUUCACUGGGUUUAAAGGGAGCGUAGGUGGCUUUGUAAGUCAGUGGUGAAAUGCCGCAGCUUAACUGCGGAACUGCCAUUGAUACUGCUUAGCUUGAAUCACGUCGAGGUGGAUGGAAUAUUACAUGUAGCGGUGAAAUGCUUAGAUAUGUAAUAGAACACCGAUUGCGAAGGCAGUUCACUAGGCGUGUAUUGACACUGAGGCUCGAAAGCGUGGGGAUCAAACAGGAUUAGAUACCCCUGUAGUC
Molecule: ribosomal RNA, 461 nt
Filed under: uncultured prokaryote
Description: bacterial SSU rRNA
Rfam family: Bacterial small subunit ribosomal RNA
Source: RNAcentral